RNAcentral lists this ribosomal RNA (430 nucleotides) under uncultured bacterium. RNAcentral's name for it is "bacterial SSU rRNA". It matches the Rfam family "Bacterial small subunit ribosomal RNA", at positions 355 to 776 of the family's 1533-position model. The record is from RNAcentral.
UGGGGAAUAUUGGGCAAUGGGCGCAAGCCUGACCCAGCCAUGCCGCGUGAGUGAUGAAGGCCUUCGGGUCGUAAAGCUCUGUGGGGAGGGAAGAAACCCCUUGUAGCUAAUAUCUACGAGGCUUGACGGUACCUCCUUAGCAAGCACCGGCUAACUCCGUGCCAGCAGCCGCGGUAAUACGGAGGGUGCAAACGUUGCUCGGAAUCAUUGGGCGUAAAGCGCACGUAGGCGGCCUGUUAAGUCGGAUGUGAAAGCCCUGGGCUCAACCCAGGAAGUGCAUACGAAACUGGCAGGCUUGAAUAUGGAAGAGGGUCGCGGAAUUCCCGGUGUAGAGGUGAAAUUCGUAGAUAUCGGGAGGAACACCAGUGGCGAAGGCGGCGACCUGGGCCAAUAUUGACGCUGAGGUGCGAAAGCGUGGGGAGCAAACAGG